Molecule: long non-coding RNA, 1809 nt
Organism: Anser brachyrhynchus (Pink-footed goose)
Lineage: Eukaryota; Metazoa; Chordata; Aves; Anseriformes; Anatidae
Source: Ensembl
AUAACACUGCCCUCUAUUAUUUAUUAGCAGCCUUUAUUUCUCCCAGCAAAAUAAUUCCCUUCCUCCCCUGGUCGGUCAGGAGCGCAGCGCGAUGCCGUCACCCUGUCCCUCAGGACAUGGGCAUGGUUUGGAGCAGAUGGGGCACUGCGGUGUCCCGGCCGAGUGCCACCAGGGGUGUUCGUGUCGCGUGGGACCCGUGUGGUGUCCCCAUCCCAGUGUGCAGCUGUGAUCUGCAUGGCCCCGGGGACACAGCUCCGGCGGUCCCGCGCUGCCCGGGGUUUGUGUUGGCUGUAUUGACUGCAUUUGUUACGGCUGGGGCUCAAUAUUGAAAUUACUCAGAACUCCAGAUAGCCAAGCUGAAUCAAUCGGUUUGUUAGUGGGAGCCAAAGGCAACAGCGAAGGGAUAUUGCAUCCUCAGAGGGAGGACACGGCAGGGAGGGAUCGGCCCCAUGACCACGUUCACAGAGAUCUUUGUGAUUUUGCCUGUCACCGUGUCUUUGCUUUAGCCCUAACAUCCCAAACUCGGCAGGUCCGUGACCUCCCCUUCUCCUGAGGCCAGCUCCUCGGGCAGCUCUCAGGAGCAGGCCUCAUCCCCCAGCCGGGCAGCACAGCUGGGGCUUAGCCCAAGCAGGAGGGAGGCAGCGGUGCUGCCGCUCGCAUGAGCGUUGUUUCCAAGACCCAAACGUGGACGUGAGGAUCAGCAAGGAAAAUCCAUCACCAGCUCAUGUGCAGGCGUGAGACUCGGGUGUCUGGCACUGCGGGAUUCCCAGCAGUGAGAGGCUCUGUCUAACAGGGGAACGCUGCCCUUGUCCCGCUCACUGCUCCCCGCCUGGCCACGCAGCGGGGAAUCACCGCCGCUUCCAGCCGCAGGCACCUCUCUGCUGGAAGGCACCGGGCGGACUGGGUGGCAUUGCCAUGGCAAUUGUCACCUGGGAAACUGAGAGGUGUGGAGCUGACAAAACGGAGGUGUUCGCUCGCCUUUCUUCAGGAAGCAGGUUGGCUCAGACUGGCAUCCAGCCCCGGUGUGCAAACCCAUCAGAUGGGCUCUGUCCAGGAGGAAGGGACCCAGAAAGGAGAAGGCUGAGCCACGGAGAAACAAACAACAAAUCGACCUGCGGAGGGAGCGAGGAGGGACCGAGAUGUUCCUGCAGCAGGACACCAGACCGCCGCGGACCGACGCACAGGCGGCAGCGCGACCUUCGCCUGUGCUGGUGCAAGGUUUCGCCCCGUGCUUCUCUUCCUAGAGCUAGCAUGUGGGCCAGGCUGAAACAGCGACGCAAAACCUGGGAGAUUCCUCGCAGGCUUCCAGGCAGCGAUGGCGUCUUCUCCUAAGGGCAUGCUCCUCGAUUCCAGGGCAGGAGGAGACGGAGGGGAAAUAAUUCACUCUUAAGGAGAGCCCAAGCACAGGAAAAAUUUGGGGGCAGAAAGUGAGAAACAUCCAACAGCGGGUGGAAACUCCAUCCCUGUUCCAGAAGUUGGAAAAAUGCUGAAAUAUCCUGAGGAGGAUGAUCCAGCAUCGCAAGGACACUGUCUGAUGGGCAAGGGCUGCUGCGUGGCGGGGGCUAUUAUUUCUUCAUGUGAUCAAAGUGAAUAAUUAAUACAGAGAUGAAGUGAUUUCCUCAUGGUUUCCUGGGGGCCUUAUUCCUCCUCAGCAGCACCAGGGAUGGCAGAAGAGGCUGGGGAGGAGGUGCUGGGCAGGGAUGAGGCUGCCCUGUGAAGGGCAGAGUGAGCAGCACUUGUUCCACGGAUGUCCGAGCUCCGUGCUGGGAUCAGACAGCCACCCGGCAAUAAAUAUCCCUGGCUGAAUCA